GAUGAACGCUGGCGGCGUGCCUAAUACAUGCAAGUCGAGCGAACAGACGAGGAGCUUGCUCCUCUGACGUUAGCGGCGGACGGGUGAGUAACACGUGGAUAACCUACCUAUAAGACUGGGAUAACUUCGGGAAACCGGAGCUAAUACCGGAUAAUAUAUUGAACCGCAUGGUUCAAUAGUGAAAGACGGUUUUGCUGUCACUUAUAGAUGGAUCCGCGCCGCAUUAGCUAGUUGGUAAGGUAACGGCUUACCAAGGCAACGAUGCGUAGCCGACCUGAGAGGGUGAUCGGCCACACUGGAACUGAGACACGGUCCAGACUCCUACGGGAGGCAGCAGUAGGGAAUAUUCCGCAAUGGGCGAAAGCCUGACGGAGCAACGCCGCGUGAGUGAAGAAGGUCUUCGGAUCGUAAAACUCUGUUAUUAGGGAAGAACAAAUGUGUAAGUAACUAUGCACGUCUUGACGGUACCUAAUCAGAAAGCCACGGCUAACUACGUG
RNAcentral lists this ribosomal RNA (497 nucleotides) under uncultured bacterium. Its description in RNAcentral is "partial 16S ribosomal RNA". It matches the Rfam family "Bacterial small subunit ribosomal RNA", at positions 28 to 507 of the family's 1533-position model. The record is from RNAcentral.